AUGAAGAACACGCGGGAAGCCAAGCGAUACCAUCACUACAAAGCCCCCCGCAACUUCAGCAACGAGCACAAGUCGGGAGUGCUUUCUACCUGGGCCACCACUUUCCCUCGUGUAACCAAGUUGUUUACUUGCAUGCAGAACAGCUCGGCAGUGCCUAUCCCAUCGCUGGAGAAAAUGGAAAGGGGAACGAGAGCCUCCUUUCAGCAGAAGCAAUUGCUGCCCCACAAAAAUGAUCAGCCUCUAAAGACAAGGGACAGUAUUUCUUGUAAACCCUUCUACAAGGAAACAACAAGAAAAAAACACUCCAGGACUCCAACAAAACGUCCAGGGUGAUGCUUGAAGUUCCACCCUCGGGUACCAGGCACCUCCGGAUGAGCUGCCAUGUAACUGAGGUCAUCCUCACACAGCCUCUUCAAAAUGCUUUCAGAUGUAAUGAUUUUGAACACGUGCUUCAGGAAUCACAUUUCUUAUUGCCCUUCUGGGCAGGCGGAGAACGCUAAUACAGUCAUCUUAGCUAUGUAGCAGGAUGAGGGUUUCCAGAGCAUCUGCUUGCCCUGUGUAAGCAAGCUCAGCUCUAUAGAAAUAGAACAGUUUGCUGCAAACGGGAAGCUUAAAUGCUAACUGGUUUAUAUAUAAAACCCAUAAAUCACUUCUGGGCCUAGAUGGUAAGCACAAAGAGAGUAGGUAGGAAGACUUGACAAGAUAGUCCCUGGAGAAUCACAGGAAUGCACCCAAGAACUAUUACAGCUCCAACUCGAAUCCCCGCCUCAGCUGCAUCCCUGGAGCUACGUAGGUUGAAACCACAUGGUAGAAUGCAGACUUUCCCCAGGCAGCAGAGUUGAGGAAACAAGCCCAUGUUGGGCUAAAAUACAGGAUGCUACAUCACAUCUAUGGUGAACAGAUACCCUCUUGGCCCUCCUUUGUUCCCUCUUCAGUUUUUAUGGACCCUCCCUAAAGGGCACUCAAAAACGAGUCCACCAGCAGCACACACCGGGCAGUCCCCUCGCUGAGCAGGGAGGGCUCCUGAUCUCUCAUACCCUGUGCAGAUGGCACGUGAUAGCUUUAUGAUGUCUCUUCCUGUAGAGCUGUUUUCUUGUUUAAGGAAAGCCCUACACAGGAAAAUAACACCUCCCAAAGCUCCAGCCUAUGUAACGUUAACCACCCACCCCAACCACACACACCCCACAGUUACCAUUUAUCUUGUUACAAGUACAGUCACCAGAACUUGUUACAACAUGAUUCAGUUUAAUAUUGUUUUGUUUUUUUUCCUGUUUUCCUGCAUUGGAGGUGCCUGGGCAGCCACCUCACACCUCCUUGACGAGCAGUAACCAGAAGGCAGCCCAAAAGCAACCAGAGCAAGGUGCUUCUGGCUGCCCCAUCGCAGACAGGUCGUACUGGCCAAACAGGUCACACACACACCAUGGGGCAGCCUCACGGAGCUGUGCACUGAAUUAGUAUGGGGAAGAAAAAAGAGAAAAAAAAAAAAAAGAAGAAGAAAGCACAGUGCGUAUGCUUUGUAAAUGAAUUAUGAAGAAACUAAAGAUCUUGUUUCAUUUGCAGUAUCUUGGUAUGAAGUCCAGUACAAAAAAAACACAGAAGUGUAUGUAAGGUCAUUUAGCUGUUCCUCUGUGCAAGGCAUUUUGCUGCCAUACGAAUAAACGAAGAUGGAAAUAGCA
RNAcentral lists this long non-coding RNA (1676 nucleotides) under Anas platyrhynchos platyrhynchos (common mallard). RNAcentral's name for it is "lncRNA (ENSAPLG00000026456.1)". The record is from RNAcentral. Lineage: Eukaryota; Metazoa; Chordata; Aves; Anseriformes; Anatidae.